GGGUAAUGGCCCACCUAGGCGACGAUCCCUAGCUGGUCUGAGAGGAUGACCAGCCACACURGAACUGAGACACGGUCCAGACUCCUACGGGAGGCAGCAGUGGGGAAUAUUGCACAAUGGGCGCAAGCCUGAUGCAGCCAUGCCGCGUGUAUGAAGAAGGCCUUCGGGUUGUAAAGUACUUUCAGCGGKGAGGAAGGCGAUGCGGUUAAUAACCGYGUCGAUUGACGUUACCCGCAGAAGAAGCACCGGCUAACUCCGUGCCAGCAGCCGCGGUAAUACGGAGGGUGCAAGCGUUAAUCGGAAUUACUGGGCGUAAAGCGCACGCAGGCGGUCUGUUAAGUCAGAUGUGAAAUCCCCGGGCUUAACCUGGGAACUGCAUUUKAAACUGGCAGGCUUGAGUCUUGUAGAGGGGGGUAGAAUUCCAGGUGUAGCGGUGAAAUGCGUAGAGAUCUGGAGGAAUACCGGUGGCGAAGGCGGCCCCCUGGACAAAGACUGACGCUCAGGUGCGAAAGCGUGGGGAGCAAACAGGAUUA
Molecule: ribosomal RNA, 533 nt
Filed under: Erwinia sp. SFB3.4
Lineage: Bacteria; Pseudomonadati; Pseudomonadota; Gammaproteobacteria; Enterobacterales; Erwiniaceae
Description: bacterial SSU rRNA
Rfam family: Bacterial small subunit ribosomal RNA
Source: RNAcentral